UUAUCCAAAUCAACCAUGCUUCUCAACUAUCAAAAAAAGGACUGGAUUGAUAUAAGAAAGGAAAUAACGCAUUAAAUGGAAAGUAAAAAUAAAACAAAAUAAGAAUGGGGGCGCAUGUCUCGAACCCAGAUCAUGGGGGUUGGGAGAUCGAAGCCUCAAUCAUCCCACCCAUGACCCUCAACUUGUCAACAAUAGGCAAUGAAUAAUAUAUAAAAAGAAAAAACGGAAUAAAUGGA
RNAcentral lists this long non-coding RNA (236 nucleotides) under Lathyrus oleraceus (garden pea). RNAcentral describes it as "Pisum sativum (pea) long non-coding RNA (PSAT_LNC019035)". The record is from RNAcentral. Lineage: Eukaryota; Viridiplantae; Streptophyta; Magnoliopsida; Fabales; Fabaceae.